GAAAAACGAUCGAAGUAAUCGAAACUUGUUGUUUAUGACUUUAUUGUAACUUCAGUGAAAAAGAAGUUAUUAUUUAUAUUUAACAUUGAUGAUAUUUAUCUGCCAUAUAAUUCUAGAAUUUAUUACUAUAUGAAAAACAACGUAUGUAAUAGAAAAACGAUAUAUAUUAGGUUAUCCGAAAAGUGUUUUGCUACCUGCAUGCAGUUGUUUUACUGGCAAUGUUUAUACAAACAUGAAACUGUCAAAUGAUGUUAUUGUCUUCAGUCGUCCUCUAGCUGUCAUAACAUAUGUUUUGUGUACAUUGAAGUUCUGUAUACACCCUUUCAUAUGCCUUUAAAUAUGAAAAAUCAAAGGAAGCAUAUAAUGCUGCAUUAUUUUACAAAAGACAACAGUGCUAAAGAUAUCACAACUAAGAUUUGUAACGUGUAUAGAAGUUAUGCUACAAGUGUUCUAACAAUUGGCAGUUGCUUUAGGAGGUCUAGAACUGGUAAUUUUAAUUUGGAAGAUAAAGAACACAGUGGCCGCCCAUUCAUUACGAAUACGAAACUAAUCAUGGCUGUGGUUAAUGAAAAUGCGCGAUAUAUUAUUCAUGAAUUAGCGGAUAUUUUAAACAUUCCGCGAACAACAGUGCAUGAUAAUCUUAGAAAAAUUAGCUAUAUCAAUCGCUCUGAAGUAUGGAUCUCACAUCAAUUUAUAAAGCAACCUCCUUAAUCGUGUUUUGACAUGUGAUUUGUUUCUUUAAUGAAACGAGCAAGAUCUAUUUUUGAAAAAAUUGAUUACUAGGGAUGAGACGGAUUUUUUACGAAAAUAUUACAUGUGAUCUUGGUUCAAGAAUAAAAAACCUUUAACAGUAGUAAGGUUUGAUUUCACCCGAAGAAAGUUUUGAUGUCUGUUUGAUAGGAUUGCAAGGAUGUCAUUUAUUACAAACUGCUUCCUCAUUGAAACAAUCAAUUUAGUGAAAUAUUGUUCCUAAUUAGAUAAAUUGAAGAGAACAAUCGUCACAAAACUGUCAGAAUUAGCAAACAGUUGAGAUGUCGUUUUCCAAUACAAUAAUAACAAGCCUUAUGCAUCUUAAAGCAUCAAGAAAAAUUGUUAUCAUUUAAUUGAAAUAUUCUACCUCAUCCUUCAUACUCUUCGUAUAUUGCCCUAAAUGAUUACUUUAUUUUUUUUUUUUUUCGUUAAAAAAUAUGUGGUAAAAAAUUUAAUAUAAUAAAUGAUAUAAAAAUGCAUCUAGGACAAUAGUUUUCUAGCAAAUCCCAGAAGUUUUGAAAAGAUGGCAUUAUGCUUCCAGAGAGAUGGAGAAAGGCGCAUUUCACUUCCCCAUCAGAUGGACGCUUUACAGAUUGCCUAGGAUUUUUUGUUGUAUCCUGGACAUAAAAAUAAUACAUAUAUAUAUAUGAUAUAUAUAGAUGAUCGGUGUUCGAGUCCAAUCUGGAUCUUUCUCUACAUCAUCUUCAACAAAACUGUCAUCUGAUAGAAAAGAAUUUUCAUAAUAUUUUGAAGAUAUUUUUUGUACUUUUGGAGUAAUCAUAAUUGAAGAAUCCUCAUUGUUCUUGCUAGAAUUAUUCUCUUUUAGAACCUAUAAAAUAUAUAUACAAGUGUUAUUAAUAAAUAAAUAUAUAUAUAUAAUGCUUAUAUUUUAAUAUUUUAAUUAUAAAUAUUUAUUAAAGAAAAAUCUAAAAUA
Vespula vulgaris is the source of this 1684-nucleotide long non-coding RNA. RefSeq lists it as uncharacterized. The transcript has 3 exons. The record is from RefSeq and is a predicted model, not a curated record. Lineage: Eukaryota; Metazoa; Arthropoda; Insecta; Hymenoptera; Vespidae.